UACGUAGGCAGCGAGCGUUGUUCGGAGUUACUGGGCGUAAAGAGUGCGUAGGCGGUUUUCUAAGUUUGGUGUGAAAUCUCCCGGCUUAACUGGGAGGGUGCGCCGAAAACUGGAAGGCUUGAGUAUGGGAGAGGUAAGCGGAAUUCCUGGUGUAGCGGUGAAAUGCGUAGAUAUCUGGAGGAACACCGGUGGCGAAGGCGGCGUCCUGGACCAACACUGACACUGAGGAGCGAAAGCCAGGGGAGCAAACGGG
This 253-nucleotide ribosomal RNA is filed under the name uncultured bacterium. RNAcentral's name for it is "partial 16S ribosomal RNA". It matches the Rfam family "Bacterial small subunit ribosomal RNA", at positions 524 to 776 of the family's 1533-position model. The record is from RNAcentral.